This 253-nucleotide ribosomal RNA is filed under the name uncultured bacterium. Its description in RNAcentral is "partial 16S ribosomal RNA". It matches the Rfam family "Bacterial small subunit ribosomal RNA", at positions 524 to 776 of the family's 1533-position model. The record is from RNAcentral.
UACGUAGGGUGCGAGCGUUAAUCGGAAUUACUGGGCGUAAAGCGUGCGCAGGCGGUUCGUUGUGUCGGUGGUGAAAUCCCCGGGCUUAACCUGGGAAUGGCAUUUGGGACUGCAAGGCUGGAGUGUGGCAGAGGAGACUGGAAUUCCUGGUGUAGCAGUGAAAUGCGUAGAUAUCAGGAGGAACACCGAUGGCGAAGGCAGGUCUCUGGGCCACUACUGACGCUGAGAAGCGAAAGCGUGGGGAGCGAACAGG